RNAcentral lists this ribosomal RNA (300 nucleotides) under uncultured Gammaproteobacteria bacterium. RNAcentral's name for it is "bacterial SSU rRNA". It matches the Rfam family "Bacterial small subunit ribosomal RNA", at positions 115 to 416 of the family's 1533-position model. Lineage: Bacteria; Pseudomonadati; Pseudomonadota; Gammaproteobacteria. The record is from RNAcentral.
GCGUAGGAAUCUGCCCAGUAGCGGGGGACAACUCGGAGAAAUCCGAGCUAAUACCGCAUAAGCCUUACGAGGGAAAGAUGGCCUCUUCUUGAAAGCUGUCGCUAUUGGAUGAGCCUACGUCGGAUUAGCUUGUUGGUGGGGUAAAAGCCUACCAAGGCGACGAUCCGUAGCUGGUCUGAGAGGAUGAUCAGCCACACUGGGACUGAGACACGGCCCAGACUCCUACGGGAGGCAGCAGUGGGGAAUAUUGGACAAUGGGGGCAACCCUGAUCCAGCAAUGCCGCGUGUGUGAAGAAGGCU